CCUUACCUGGUCUUGACAUCCACGGAAGUUUUCAGAGAUGAGAAUGUGCCUUCGGGAACCGUGAGACAGGUGCUGCAUGGCUGUCGUCAGCUCGUGUUGUGAAAUGUUGGGUUAAGUCCCGCAACGAGCGCAACCCUUAUCCUUUGUUGCCAGCGAUUAGGUCGGGAACUCAAAGGAGACUGCCAGUGAUAAACUGGAGGAAGGUGGGGAUGACGUCAAGUCAUCAUGGCCCUUACGACCAGGGCUACACACGUGCUACAAUGGCGCAUACAAAGAGAAGCGACCUCGCGAGAGCAAGCGGACCUCAUAAAGUGCGUCGUAGUCCGGAUUGGAGUCUGCAACUCGACUCCAUGAAGUCGGAAUCGCUAGUAAUCGUGGAUCAGAAUGCCACGGUGAAUACGUUCCCGGGCCUUGUACACACCGCCCGUCACACCAUGGGAGUGGGUUGCAAAAGAAGUAGGUAGCUUAACCUUCGGGAGGGCGCUUACCACUUUGUGAUUCAUGACUGGGGUGAAGUCGUAACAAGGUAACCGUAGGGGAACCUGCGGUUGGAUCACCUCCUUACCUUAAAGAAGC
Molecule: ribosomal RNA, 576 nt
Filed under: Salmonella enterica subsp. enterica serovar Virchow
Lineage: Bacteria; Pseudomonadati; Pseudomonadota; Gammaproteobacteria; Enterobacterales; Enterobacteriaceae
Description: bacterial SSU rRNA
Rfam family: Bacterial small subunit ribosomal RNA
Source: RNAcentral